UACGGGGGGGGCAAGCGUUGUUCGGAAUUACUGGGCGUAAAGGGCUCGUAGGUGGCCAACUAAGUCAGACGUGAAAUCCCUCAGCUUAACUGGGGAACUGCGUCUGAUACUGGAUGGCUUGAGUUUGGGAGAGGGAUGCGGAAUUCCAGGUGUAGCGGUGAAAUGCGUAGAUAUCCGGAAGAACACCUGAGGCGAAGGCGGCUUGCUGGGCAUGAUCUGACGCUGAGGCGCGAAAGCGUGGGGAGCAAACAGG
This 253-nucleotide ribosomal RNA is filed under the name uncultured bacterium. RNAcentral's name for it is "partial 16S ribosomal RNA". It matches the Rfam family "Bacterial small subunit ribosomal RNA", at positions 524 to 776 of the family's 1533-position model. The record is from RNAcentral.